AUUAGUACCUAGACUAAGUGUGCAUGGCUAUGGAUGCCACGUGCACUCCCCCAUGCAUGCUUAUCUGGUUGAGGGUGGCUCUAAUUAAUUUAGUUUUUGCUUUCUCUCUUUAGUGUGAAGUAGAGAACCACACGAGGUGGAGCUUGGGGGAGUAGCCGUGGAUCUCGGAUUCAACGUCGACAUCGCGCCGCGGAGCCGUUCGAGGAUACGGUUGCAGUCGUAGCAUCGCGAGGAGUCCGGGCGAGGGCGUGGUUUCGCCGUUCUCGACGUCGCCCCGCGUUGGAUUUAGCAUACGAGGUGGGUUUAUCAUCGGAAUCCUACUCCUAUAAUAUUGUUCAUCGACAUGUAUCGUUAAUAUUACAAGUUGUUAUUGUUUGUUUAGCUCAAAUUCAUAAGUAGGUAUGUUUUAGACAUAUAAACUGAAUUGGGAGCAUGUUAUUAGUUGUUAUUAAUCAUACAUGUGGGACUUGGAUAAAACAUAGGAGAAAAUCAGCGUUCGGAAUCUGGCAUAUGUUGAAUUACCUGAUUUAGCCUUAGGGGCCGUUGUAUUUUUAUACAGUUAUUGUAUUCGGGUUGUGAGUACCCCAGGUAGUUUAGAAGGCAUUUACGCUCGUGCUGAGAUGCCGAGCUUAUUUUUCAGCAGAGUUUAGGCUGUUUCGGGUCGUUGGGUGCCGUUCGGGUUAGCGGUGGACCCAGAUUCUUGUUUUGGUCACAGAUUGUGCCGAGGGCACGUGGGUUUGGUUUGUAGACCUGUUUUGACCCUGUUUACUUGACUUUGGCUAGUUGGAGCCUGUUUGAGCUCGACAGAGAUACGCUGCAUACUCGGUUGGGUAGCGCCCACGAGUGCCACUCCGGAGUCAGGCUUUGUGCUUUCGCGUUGGUGUCGCUCAUGCCAGUUGGACUUGCUCUCCACGGACCAGUUAGUGUGGAUAGAGCUUGACAGUCACAACGGGGCAGGGACGGGUGUAUUCACAGUCCCGGGGACGGGUAUGCUUACAGUCCCGAUUGGAUUGGGUCAGGUUGGACAUUUCCUACAGUUGGUUAGUGUAGAGCAUGAUAGUGUAGUAUUUGAUAGCGGUAGACUUUAUUCCUGCAUUUCACUACUAUUCUUGCUCCCUUCUGUAGACUUAGUGGGUAGACCGAUGUUGUUUUGGGCGGUACCCACUGAGGACUACUUGUUUUUACAGUAGUUCUCACGCCCAGUUGUUACCUAUGUUUUUGCAGAGCCACAGGUUCCGGCUGCUGCACCGUCCGCGGAUCAGGAUCGAGGCAAGGGCGUUGCGAGUUAGAGCCCUACCCGACGUGCUGAGCUAGAGGUGCUCCUACUGCAGGUAGAUGUUUUGUUUCGAGUUUAUGUACAUAGUGGACUUAACUCGCCAGUGCGAGUAGCUUUGUAUUUUGGAUCUGGACUAUGUAUAUGAAACUCAGUUUGUUUAGCUUCUGUUCUCUCCAGCAGCUCUCUACUACUGUUCGUGGUAGUGUUUGAUUUUCUGGUACAGCUAUCGCUUCGUAUACAGGGAAAAUUCCUUUGUAUACGGCGGAUUUGUCGGCGCGCCCGGGGAAAGUGUAAUCCGGGGCGUGACAGAUUAAUUUGGUAUCAGAGCUUAGCUAUAGGUCGUUGGGACCUAGAAAACCUAAGUUUGGCGAACCUUAGGAAAGCAAGACGCGAGAGGCGGAAUUUAUUGCGAAAGUCAAUGAUUAUUUGUUCUAACUCCUCCUAGAGUGGAGUGAGUGACUGAAGGAGUUCCUGUUUUGGCCUGAGAAAUUAUGUUGGCUGCAGACGACAUAAUUUUGGAGGGAAACAGGGACCGCCUUCUAGACUUUCGUUGAUUGGGUCGAUAGUGUUGUGUUGUAUCUGACCCCGAUUUGUUCUUUUCAGCUAUGUAUCGUCGCCGAGGUCGACCGUCGUUGCGGGAGCGUGCCCAGUUGGCGCGGGAUCGUGUGGGAUCUCCCGAGAUGCCUGAGCAGGCAGAGGCGAGUGCACCCCCAGUUGUAGAGCAGAGGGCCCGACCGGAGGCGAGUGCAUCCCCAGAUUUGAGUGCACAGUUGGCUGCCCUGACUGAGGUGACGAGACAGCAGGGGGAGCUAUUGCAGAGGUUGUGUGAGAGGAUAGCUCAGCCACCGAGUUCUGUACCGAGGGCACCAGAGUCGCCAGUUCCACCCCCGACUACUCCAGUGACAGCACCAGCUGCAGCAGUUCCUCCAUCGGCAGCAGUUCCAGUAGCGCCAGUUGCGCCUGCUAGGGGGCCAGUACCGUUGACUGAGGCUGAGCAGGAGCGGUGGACGGAGAGGUUAGCUCGUUUUCGCCGAUUUGAUCCACCGAUCUUCGAUGGCAGAGGCACUGAGGCCUGGAUUGUUGAGGGAUGGGUCAGUGCGAUGGAGAAGUUAUUCGAGGAUCUGUUCGUUCCAGAGGGGGAGCAGGUACCCCUGGGAGUACACUGUCUAGCAGGUGAUGCUCAUGACUGGUGGCGGAGAACGAGGCGAGACCAGGGGCUAGUGGCGGCGCAGCUGAGUUGGGAUGAGUUCUGUGGAAUGCUGUUUGGGAUGUUCUUUCCCAACAGUGUGAAGCAGAAGCUCGAGGAGGAUUUGAGGAGGCUUCAGCAGGGAGAUCGCCCAGUGCAGGAGUACGUUCGGGAGUUUACUCGACUCCUGAACUGUGUACCAUUUGCGGCCAGAGACGAGGCGCACAGAGUAUACAUGUUCGAGCAGGGGCUGAGACCGGACAUCUUCAGGUUAGUGCGGGCGCAGAGGUCGAGGACCCUGGAUGCGUCCAUAGAGCAGGCCCUAUGGGUGGAGAGAGGUGAGGUGUCGCUGCAGGAGAGGACUCAGGCCGUGGGGCAGGGUCAGGACAGGAAGCGCCCCUUUCCAGAUGACGGAGGGCAGUCGAGCAGCAGACGUCCGCCGAGACCUCCACGAUCACGUUCUCAGGGUCGUGGGUCUUCGGGGCGUCAGCGUUCCAGGGGAUCCCGUCAGCAGGGGCAGACUCAGAGGACGCCACAGUGUGUGAUCUGCGGGGGACCACACUGGCCUCGGCAGUGCGAGCAGAGAGAGGGCAGGUGCUACGGAUGUGGUCAGCCGGGACACAUGAGGGCAGCUUGUCCCCGAGCAGCAUCUCCAGCACCGUCAUCAGCUUCGGCACCACCAGCACCACAGCAGUCUUACGGAGCAGCACCGAGCUACCGCCAGGAGGACAGAUCGUCUGUGCCGCGGUCGAGUGAGCGGCGACAGCAGGCUCCGAGUGGCAGGGUCUAUGCAGCUCAGGUGGAGGACUCUUCAGCAGCCGACCGAGUGGUGGCAGGUAUCACUUUGAUUUCUGGCAUUAGAGUUCGCACUCUUUUUGAUACCGGUGCAUCGCAUUCCUUUGUUAGCCGAGCAUUUGCAUUGUUGCAUGGUCUAGAGUUAGGAGCGUUGUCUCAGGCACGAGAGGUGCAGAUCCCCGACCAUGUCUUGCAGGUUACAGAGUGUUGUUGGUCCUGUCCGGUGCAGUUAGACUCUUGGAUCAUGCCCGCAGACCUGUUGGUGUUAGGGCAGCUGCAGGACUUCGACGUAGUGCUCGGUAUGGAUUGGCUGGCGCGGUACUAUGCUACGAUCGACUGUGGAGCGAGGACGGUGACGUUCCGCGAGCCAGGCCAGGAGGAGUUUACUUUCAGAGGCUGCAGGAGCACGCUGUUUGCCACCUGGAUAUCUUCGGCGAGGGCUCGACAGAUGCUGAGCAGUGGGUGUAUCGCUUUCCUAGCGACAGUUGUGGAGGUACCUACGGCGGCGCCGAGACUCGAGGACAUCCCAGUAGUCCGCGAGUUUUCGGAUGUGUUUCCCCCUGAGUUGACGACAUUGCCGCCGGAGAGGGAGAUUGAGUUUGUGAUUGAUGUAGUUCCUGGAACUGCACCAAUCUCAAAGGUACCUUACAGGAUGGCACCGGCAGAGCUGAGAGAGCUAAAGGCGCAACUUCAGGAUCUGAUGGAUAGAGGGUUUGUGAGACCCAGUGUGUCGCCUUGGGGAGCGCCGGUGUUAUUUGUAAAGAAGAAGGAUGGUUCGCUCAGGUUAUGUGUGGAUUACCGGGAGCUGAAUAAAGUGACCAUCAAGAACAAGUAUCCUCUGCCGCGCAUUGAUGAUCUAUUCGAUCAGCUGCAAGGAUCUUGUGUCUUUUCGAAGAUUGAUCUCCAGUCAGGUUACCACCAGCUGAGGGUGAGGGCCGAGGAUGUUCCCAAGACGGCUUUUCGGACUCGGUACGGGCAUUAUGAGUUCACGGUGAUGCCUUUUGGAUUGACGAAUGCCCCUGCCGCAUUCAUGGAUUUGAUGAACAGAGUGUUCAAGCCGUUCUUGGAUAGGUUUGUGGUAGUCUUCAUCGACGAUAUCCUGAUUUACUCCCGGAGUGAUGCUGAGCAUGAGGAGCACUUGAGGAUUGUGCUACAGCUUCUGCGCGAGAAGAAGUUGUAUGCCAAGUUAAAGAAGUGCGAGUUCUGGCUACGGGAGGUUGCUUUCUUGGGCCACGUGAUUUCAGCUGAGGGCGUAGCAGUGGACCCGAAGAAGAUUGAGGCGAUUCGAGAUUGGCCUAGACCGACGACGGUUACUGAGGUACGGAGCUUCCUGGGACUGGCAGGAUAUUACCGUCGGUUUGUGGAAGGCUUUGCGAAGCUUUCCACACCCCUCACACGCUUGACGCGGAAGGGGAUUCGUUUUGUCUGGAGCGACGACUGUCAGAGGAGCUUUGACGAGUUGAGAUUGAGGUUGAUGUCGGCUCCUAUCCUUGCCCUUCCUGUUAUGGGCGAAGGAUUUGUGAUCUACAGUGAUGCAUCGCACAGUGGACUUGGUUGCGUGCUGAUGCAGCAUGGUAGGGUGAUUGCUUAUGCUUCACGGCAGUUAAAGGAUUAUGAGAAGAAUUACCCUACGCAUGACUUGGAGCUUGCCGCGGUGGUUUUUGCUUUGAAGCUCUGGCGGCAUUACUUGUACGGCGAGCACUGCGAGAUUUUUACUGAUCAUAAAAGUCUCAAGUAUCUGUUCACCCAAAAGGAGUUGAAUUUGAGACAGCGCCGGUGGUUGGAGUUGCUGAAGGAUUAUGACAUCAGUAUCCAGUAUCAUCCCGGCAAGGCGAAUGUGGUGGCAGAUGCGUUGAGCAGGAAGGCAGUGCAGAGCUUGAGUAUGUUGAUCACUCGGCAGAGACCGUUACUCGAGGAGCUGAGACGGCUGGGACUCGAGGUAGUGUCCCCUGGAUUUACUGCGAGAUUGAUGUCUAUGAUCUUGCAGCCCACUCUGUUAGAUAGGAUUCGAGAGAAACAGAGUGGGGAUCCACACUUGUCGAGGAUUCGAGAGCAGCUUGAGAGGGGACAGGCCGAGGGCUUUGUUGUGGACAGUUCGGGAGUACUGCGGUACAGGGACCGACUGUGUGUACCUAUGGAUUCAGAGAUCCGAGAGGACAUCUUGAGAGAGGCUCACUGUUCACCUUAUACGGUUCACCCCGGUGGAACCAAAAUGUAUAAGGAUUUAAAGGCUCAGUUUUGGUGGAAUGGAAUGAAGAGGGACAUUGGUAGAUUUGUGGCUCAGUGUCUGACUUGUCAACAGGUAAAGGCCGAGCAUCAGGUACCUGCUGGCAAGCUUCAGAGUCUACCAGUGCCCGAGUGGAAAUGGGAGCAGAUCACGAUGGACUUUGUCGUCGGAUUGCCGAGAGCACAGGGUGGUUUUGAUGCGAUUUGGGUGAUAGUGGACAGACUGACCAAGUCUGCUCACUUCUUACCAGUGCAGACCACUUGGUCCAGAGAGAGACUCGCUCAGUUGUACUUGGAUGAGAUAGUGAGGUUGCAUGGCGUGCCCACUUCGAUAGUAUCCGACCGGGACCCGAGGUUCGUAUCGCACUUCUGGAGGAGUCUUCAGACGGCCUUGGGCACUCAGUUGCAGUUCAGCACAGCAUUUCACCCACAGACAGAUGGUCAGUCAGAGCGGACCAUUCAGACUCUAGAGGACAUGCUGAGGGCAUGUGUCUUGGACUUUGGAGGAGGGUGGUAUCGGCAUUUGAGACUGGUUGAGUUUGCGUACAACAACAGCUAUCAAGCGAGCAUCCGGAUGGCUCCGUUUGAGGCGUUGUAUGGACGCAGAUGUCGAUCCCCUUUGUUUUGGAGUGAUGUGGGUGAGAGGAGGACGCUUGGGCCUGAGAUUCUGAUUGAGGCUGAGGAAAAGGUAAAAGAGGCGCGACGGCACAUAUUAGCAGCCCAGAGUCGACAGAGGAGCUAUGCUGAUACCCGGAGACGAGACUUGGAGUUCCAGGUGGGAGAUCAUGUUUUUCUUAAAGUCUCGCCGUCCAGAGGGAUUCGCCGAUUUGGUGUACGUGGAAAGCUCAGUCCACGUUUUGUAGGCCCUUUCGAGGUAUUGGAGCGAGUCGGGCCAGUUGCUUACAGGAUUGCUCUACCACCACGGCUAGCCGGCAUUCAUGAUGUGUUCCACGUCUCGGCUUUGAGGAAAUAUGUGUUCGACCCCUCCCACGUGAUCGACUUCACUCCGCUUGAGAUUGGCGAGGACCUGAGCUACGAGGAGCGACCGGUGCGGAUUCUGGCUCGUGAGUCGAGGGAAUUGCGCAACCGGGUCAUACCCUUUGUAAAGGUGCAGUGGAGUAAUCACGAGGAGCGGGAGGCGACUUGGGAGCCGGAGGCGGUGAUGAAGGAGUCCUACCCCUACCUGUUUGAGGCCCUGGAUUGAGGUAUGUGUACAGUUUCGCGGACGAAACUUUUUGUAGUGGGGGAGGAUGUAGUGUUCCUGAGCUUUGGAUAGGAUUGGCUUCAGUAUUAUAGACUGGUCGACAUCUCUGGAGAGUGUCGGACUGAGUCGGAGUCAAUUCUGCACGAAUUGGAUGCAGAAUUGGACUCGGCGCACUCAAAUAAGCAAAACUGGAGUUUUGCCAGAUUCGGGCGCCCAGAACAUUGUUAGGGUCGCCCAGAAACGAGUGUUGAAUUUAACUGAAACUGGAAGCCAAUUCGGAUCCCAUGUUCCGGGCGCCCAGAAGUGGGUCCGGAAAUUUCACCUCGUGAAUAUCGCUUGCUUCGACGCGUGGCAGGGCGGUAGGUGAGUUCCGCCGGUGCCGUUUACGGGCGCAGCACACCGCGGGCGGAGAGUCCGAGGGGCCCAUUUUGUGCAGGCCGGAUGUUCUGGUCGCCCAGAACAUGGUUCCGGGCGCCCAGAAACGCCCGUUUCUGCAGGGGCACUGGAUUGCGGCUAUUUUUCCUGGGGCUUAUCUGAUCUAUCCAGCAGCCUAUAAAUAGCUGAGAAGCGCCCCCUUUGAGCUCUUUUACCUGUUCUUCACAGAGGACUUAGAUUUUACUCCCAAAUCCCUCAAAUCUUUCCAAUUUGCAUCAAGAUCCACCUCUCCAAGAAUUGCAAGGUGCUGAUUUUGCAGUUCUUCAGCGACGACCUCCAGUGUUUUGGCUCGUGCGUGACGUAGGAAGGUCGGAUUUCAACGAAACUUGGUUUGCUGGAUUCUUGACUUCCAGAGGAAUCCACGAAGCCCUAAUUUGCAGAAUUUGGUGAAGGUUAGCUCAGUCGAACUCAGGUUUUCCUCUGCUGUUGUUGCUUUGGACAGAAUUUGCCAAUUUUUGAUGUUUUCUUGGGGUGAACUUGGGAAGCAGGGGCUUUGUGGAGUUGAGUUAUUUUCCCUAUCACCCAGUACUGGAAUUGGGACCCUCUCCACCUGAUUUGGAGUUCGUUUGGUGAGUUUUGACAUUGGAAUUGAGAUAUUUAAGCUUAAAUGCUGUUUUGCUGAAAUUCAUCGUCGACUGUUAGUAUUUCAGCUCGUACUCGACGUAGGAGCAUCGGAUUUCGUCGAGACUUGAUUCGUUGGUUUCGGGACUGCGAGAAGAAUCCACGAAGUCCUUACUUGUGGAUUUUGGUGAAGGUUAGCUUGGUCGAAACCCUUCUCUUCUCUGCUGCUGUGUACUUGGACUGAAUUGUGGAUUUUGAUGAUUUUUAUUGGAUUUUUGGGUGCAUUGUAAAUCCAGAUCUUAAGGGGCUUUGUUGCUGGUUUGAAGAGGUUUCCAGCAGUGUUGCUUGAGGAUCCGAGACCCUAUUGCUGCCAGGAAUUGCAUUAGAGGUGGGUGUUUCAUCGGUUUCGCUCCUAAGUGCAUGUUAGUCAACGUGUAUAGUUCGAGUGUUGUAAAUCAUGCUUUAAUUCAUCGAUUAGCAUUUUGAAUGUAAUAUGAAUGUAGAAGCAUGCUGAAAUGAAUAUUUAAAUUAUACAUGUUGGACUUGAAAUUUGACUUAGGAGAAAACCUGCGUUUUGACCCGUCAUAUGCUUAAACUACCAGAUUUAGCUCUAGGAGCCGUGUUCGAUUGUAUCGUUGCCGAGUCAGUGCAAUGGAUACCUUGGGUAGUUUAGAAUGUAUUUACACUCGUGCUGGUUCGCCGAGUGAAUUUUUGCAGGGUCGUUCAGGCCGUUUCGGACUGUUGGGUGCCGUCAGAGUUGACGGUGGACCGUAUCGCCUUUUUGGCGUCAGAUUGUGCCGAGGGCACGUUACCUGUUGGUUGUUAGACCAGUUUAAGUCGAUUACUUGACUUUGGCUAGUUGGAGCCUGAUUGAGCUCGACAGAGAUACGCUGCAUACUCGGUUGGGUAGCGCCCACGAGUGCCACUCCGGAGUCAGGCUUUGUGCUUUCGCGUUGGUGUCGCUCAUGCCAGUUGGACUUGCUCUCCACGGACCAGUUAGUGUGGAUAGAGCCCGAUAGUCGCAACGGGGCAGGGACGGGUGUGUUCACAGUCCCAGGGACGGGUAUGUCUACAGUCCCGAUUGGAUUGGGUCAGAUUUGACAUUUCCUACAGUUGGUUAGUGUAGAGCAUGAUAGUAUAGUGAUUUGUAGCGGUUGAGUUUGUUUCCUGCUUUUCCUACUAUUCUUGCUCCCUCCUGUAGACUUAGUGGGUGGACCGAUGUUGUUUUGGGCGGUACCCACUGAGGACUACUUGUUUUUACAGUAGUUCUCACGCCCAGUUGUUACCUAUGUUUUUGCAGAGCCACAGGUUCCGGCUGCUGCACCGUCCGCGGAUCAGGAUCGAGGCAAGGGCGUUGCGAGUUAGAGCCCUACCCGACGUGCUGAGCUAGAGGUGCUCCUACUGCAGGUAGAUGUUUUGUUUCGAGUUUAUGUACAUAGUGGACUUAACUCGCCAGUGCGAGUAGCUUUGUAUUUUGGAUCUGGA
Molecule: long non-coding RNA, 9168 nt
Filed under: Ananas comosus (pineapple)
Lineage: Eukaryota; Viridiplantae; Streptophyta; Magnoliopsida; Poales; Bromeliaceae
Description: long non-coding RNA (ACOM_LNC026839)
Source: RNAcentral